GACGAACGCUGGCGGCGUGCUUAACACAUGCAAGUCGAACGGAAAGGCCCUGCUUUUGUGGGGUGCUCGAGUGGCGAACGGGUGAGUAACACGUGAGUAGCCUGCCCUUGACUUUGGGAUAACUUCAGGAAACUGGGGCUAAUACCGGAUAGGAGCUCCUGCUGCAUGGUGGGGGUUGGAAAGCUUCGGCGGUUGGGGAUGGACUCGCGGCUUAUCAGCUUGUUGGUGGGGUAGUGGCUUACCAAGGCUUUGACGGGUAGCCGGCCUGAGAGGGUGACCGGCCACAUUGGGACUGAGAUACGGCCCAGACUCCUACGGGAGGCAGCAGUGGGGAAUAUUGCACAAUGGGCGGAAGCCUGAUGCAGCAACGCCGCGUGCGGGAUGACGGCCUUCGGGUUGUAAACCGCUUUCGCCUGUGACGAAGCGUGAGUGACGGUAAUGGGUAAAGAAGCACCGGCUAACUACGUG
This 468-nucleotide ribosomal RNA is filed under the name uncultured bacterium. Its description in RNAcentral is "partial 16S ribosomal RNA". It matches the Rfam family "Bacterial small subunit ribosomal RNA", at positions 28 to 507 of the family's 1533-position model. The record is from RNAcentral.